Molecule: long non-coding RNA, 504 nt
Organism: Schistocerca nitens (vagrant locust)
Lineage: Eukaryota; Metazoa; Arthropoda; Insecta; Orthoptera; Acrididae
Exons: 3
Source: RefSeq, a predicted model, not a curated record
UUAUGCUGGCACUAUAUGGCAACUUAUUUUUGAGUUACGCACACUCGUUGAAGACAUUCCCAGCUCCAACACAAACUAAUUUAAAAAUGCAGCUGGCACAGCAUUUUGAGAAACUGAACUUGCUAUACUAAACGAUGACACACCACCAGAUCUGUCUCCUGCAGUCCUUGCGUCACCCAGCUCACUGGUGGCACAACGUAUUGCAAAUGCUUAAGUCACUGUCGCAAUUUAGAAACCAGUAGAAUGGGGCACUGAACUGCUGUACAUCUACACCCAUAUCUACAUGGCUACUCUGCAAAUCAUAGUCCGCAGACAACAGCACCACAAAGAAAAUGUCUUCAAGUGGAUAAAUGUAACAAUAAAGAUUGCAAACAUGAAGUAUUUGUCAAGAUUAAGUUGUGUUAUACAAAUGUAUUCAGUUAUCGGAUGGUGUCUACAGAAUUAAAGGCUGAAAAAAGUGACUUUUGAUGACAGAGCUCUAUCAAAUUAGAAGAUGGAGCUCUA